This is a non-coding RNA of Acanthosepion pharaonis, 108 nucleotides long. The record is from the annotation of a GenBank genome assembly. Lineage: Eukaryota; Metazoa; Mollusca; Cephalopoda; Sepiida; Sepiidae.
UACGGUCAUAUUACGUUGAAACACCGGUUCUCAUACGUUUACAGAAGUUAAGCAAUAUCGUUUCUGGUCAGUACCUAGAUUGGUGACCUCGUAGGAAUACCAGGUGCU